UUGAAAGGGAAACGAUUGAAGUCAGUCGUACCAGCGGGAAAUCAACCUUUCGAGUGGGGGUUUUGGAGUUUUGAAGAGUGUCAAAACCUUUGAGAUUUCAAAAUUUUCGCUCUUUUGGUGUACUUUCUCGUGGGUAGGUUAACAUCGAUUUUGAUCAUCAUAAAAAGAUUGGAGGAAUGUAGCUUCGAUCUUGUAUUGAGGUGUUAUAGCCUUUGGUAAAUGUGAUGAUUAGGAUCGAGGAUUGCAACGAAUACCCUUUUGGGCUAUCCGCCUGAUCUCUGAUACGUGGCCUUGGUAUCGAAAGCGUGCUUAUGGUAUUGAGGUAUUACGGUCAAAAGGUUAGAACGGAUUACAUUCGUUAAGGAUGUUGACGUA
This 375-nucleotide ribosomal RNA is filed under the name uncultured Glomeromycotina. RNAcentral describes it as "LSU rRNA". Lineage: Eukaryota; Fungi; Glomeromycota. The record is from RNAcentral.